RNA transcript from Rhododendron vialii, 2519 nucleotides. It is a transcript of the gene named L-galactono-1,4-lactone dehydrogenase, mitochondrial, with no coding region annotated. The record is from RefSeq and is a predicted model, not a curated record. Lineage: Eukaryota; Viridiplantae; Streptophyta; Magnoliopsida; Ericales; Ericaceae. The transcript has 8 exons.
AUCAUCACUCUCCUGGAUUCCAUAAACCCUGAAAAGUGAAAACCUCUCUCCCUCUCUUCUCAAGUCUCUCUCUCUAAAAACACUCUUUCACCUUAAACCGUAGUCCCAAAUGUUCCGAGCUCUCCAUCUCAGGCGAUCCCUCCACCAAUCCCUCCACCACCAAAACACCACCACCCCACACUCCCUCCCCCUCAAAAUCCUAACCACCACCAUUCCUCCCCAAAACCCCAAACUCACCCGGCCAUUUUGCUCCACACCACCACCACUCCCCCCCUCUUCCUCCUCCGAAUCCGAGCUCCGCAAGUACCUCGGCUACGCCGCCCUCCUCCUCGGCUGCGGCAUCGCCACCUACUACUCCUUCCCCUUCCCCGAAAACGCCAAGCACAAAAAGGCCCAACUCUUCCGCUACGCCCCGCUCCCCGACGACCUCCACACCGUUUCCAACUGGAGCGGGACCCACGAAGUCCAAACUAGGGUUUUCCUCCAACCCGAAUCGCUCCCCGAACUCGAGGCCAUUGUGAGGGAUGCUAAUCAGAAGAAGCAGAAGAUUCGGCCGGUCGGGUCGGGCCUGUCGCCGAAUGGGAUCGGGUUGACGAGGCUGGGGAUGGUGAAUUUGGCACUGAUGGAUAAGGUUUUGGAGGUGGAUGAGGAGAGGAAGAGGGUUAGGGUGCAGGCUGGCAUUAGGGUGCAGCAGCUUGUGGAUGGGAUUAAGGAUUAUGGGCUUACGUUGCAGAAUUUCGCGUCGAUUCGGGAGCAGCAGAUUGGGGGUAUUGUUCAGGUUGGCGCACAUGGAACUGGUGCAAGGUUGCCUCCUAUCGAUGAGCAGGUCAUCAGCAUGAAACUGGUUACUCCUGCCAAAGGGACGAUAGAGCUUUCAAAAGAGAAAGAUCCUGAACUCUUCUAUCUUGCUCGCUGCGGACUAGGGGGCCUUGGCGUUGUAGCAGAAGUAACUCUUCAGUGUGUUGAUAGACAAGAGCUACUGGAGCACACUUUUGUUUCAAACAUGAAAGAAAUAAAGAAAAAUCACAAGAAAUUGCUAUCGGAGAACAAGCAUGUGAAGUAUCUUUAUAUUCCAUAUACUGACACUGUUGUGGUUGUGACGUGCAACCCUUUCUCCAAAUGGAAAGGUCCUCCCAAGUUUAAACCAAAAUAUAGUCAAGAUGAAGCUAUACAGCCUCUUCGUGACUACUACCAAGAGUCUCUCAAGAAGUACAGAGGUGAAGGGAAUGUUGCCAAAUCUCCGGACAAAGGUGAAGCAGACAUAAGUGAGCUUUCAUUUACUGAGCUAAGAGAUAAAUUACUUGCCCUGGAUCCUCUCAACAAAGACCAUGUGGUAAAGGUCAAUCAGGCUGAGGCAGAGUUUUGGAGGAAGUCAGAAGGAUACAGAGUAGGCUGGAGUGAUGAAAUUCUUGGCUUUGAUUGUGGUGGCCAACAGUGGGUAUCGGAGACAUGUUUACCUGCUGGAACCUUAUCAAAGCCCAGUAUGAAAGAUCUUGAAUACAUAGAAGAGCUGAUGCAACUUAUAAACAAGGAACUGAUACCUGCACCUGCUCCUAUAGAACAGCGGUGGACAGCUCGCAGCAAGAGCCCCAUGAGCCCCGCUUCAAGCAAAUCAGAGGAUGAUAUUUUCUCUUGGGUUGGUAUAAUUAUGUACCUUCCUACAGCGGAUGCUCGCCAGAGGAAAGAAAUAACUGAGAAGUUUUUCCACUACAGGCAUUUGGCCCAAACACAGUUGUGGGAUCGGUAUUCUGCUUAUGAACAUUGGGCUAAGAUUGAGAGAGAACAAGACGAUGCAGUAAACUGGUUCCUAAGGACAAGGAAGAGCUUGCAACUUUGCGAGCAAGGUUGAGGAAGCGUUUUCCAGUGGAUGCGUACAAUAAAGCACGAAGUGAAUUGGACCCCCAUCGGAUCCUUUCUAAUAACAUGCUGGAGAAGCUAUUCCCACAGUCGGAUACAAUUUGAGAAUCACUGCUGCCUGAUAUUGCCCUAAAAGAGUCAUCUUUCAGCAGCAUUCUUCACAGAUAAAACAGCAACACAGAGCAGCAAGGCUGCAAAACAGAAGAGUAAAUCAAUUAUCAAAACAUUGAUGAUUUUUUUUAAAAUAAAAAAACCUGAUCAGCCUUCUAUAUGAAGGGAAUGGGUAAGUCCGCAGUUAAUGUGAGCACAUCGUUUUUGAGAUUUAUCUCGUAUAGCUUUGUGGUGGUUCAUAAACUCAGUUCAGGUAAAACGGGUGGUGAAAUACCGAACAUUUGAUCACCCCGACCAUCACUUCAGAAGUUUACGAUUUAAGAGUUCUUUGGCAGUAACAACAUCAGUUUUCCAAAUUCAGUCGUAUGACUUUGGUCGUAGUGCUUCUUUCGCUGUUUUUUAGCAUCAAUUCGAGGUGUGUUCAAACUCUUUGAAUUCUCUCCUAUGUCAUGUGAAGUUCUUGUAUUUUUGCCUAUAUAGAACAACUACUUUGGAUUUUUCAUUGUACAGAGUCUACUUAGAAUUGAUUGUGUUGAUCCUCAUAUGCGAAA